RNAcentral lists this ribosomal RNA (2692 nucleotides) under Candidatus Bathyarchaeota archaeon. RNAcentral describes it as "partial 23S ribosomal RNA". It matches the Rfam family "Archaeal large subunit ribosomal RNA", at positions 1 to 2651 of the family's 2987-position model. The record is from RNAcentral. Lineage: Archaea; Thermoproteati; Candidatus Bathyarchaeota.
AAGUUCGACAUGCCACGCCGUCUGGUGAAUGGCUAGGCUUGAGCGCUGAAGAAGGGCGCGGCAAGCAGCGAAACGCCUCGGGUAAGCGCACGCAGCUGUAGAACCGAGGAUGCCCAAAUGAGACUUCUCGUCGCGGCUCCUUCGGGACCCGUGACACUCCAGCAAUGGAGGGGGAACCUCCUGAACUGAAGCAUCAUAGUAAGGGGAGGAAAAGAAACUAACCAAGAUUCCCUUAGUAGCAGCGAGCGAAAUGGGAAAAGUCCAAACCGAAUCUUGUAAGGAAACUUAUGAGAGAUGUAGGGUUAUGGGUCCGGCUAUAUCUUCACUGGCAAAGCUAAAGUGGUCUGGAACGACCCGCCAUAGAGGGUGAAAGCCCCGUAAGCGUAAACCGGAAAGACGAAGGCUGGAAUCCCAGAGUACCAUACCCUGGCUUGGGUGUGGAAAAUUGGGAGUCACCAACUUCCAAGACUAAACACGUCUCAAGACCGAUAGCGCACUAGUAUGGUGACAGAAAGUUGAAAAGUAUCCCGGAAGGGAGCUGAAAAGAGUCUGAAACCAGGCGGUUAAAGACGUAUGCAGCCCGGAAGGAUAGAUCCCAUUCGAAGGAAACCGCAGCAAUGCGGCAGUACGGGAAUGGGGGACUAGGGUUGCAUGUUCCGUCUAGAAACACGGGCCGGGGAGUUCAUGGCUAUGGCAAGCUUAAAGGUCAAAAGCCUGAACGCACAGGGAAACCAACAAGCGCACAACCAGUCUUUGGCUGGUGAGGCGCGGCGUCUUAAAGGGCGCGGAGUCAUAGCUUUGAUGACUAGAAACCGGGCGAUCUAGCCCUGGGCAGGGUGAAGCCAGACGAAAGUCUGGUGGAGGCCCGAAGGGGUACUAACGUGCAAUUUGUUCCUCUGACCUGGGGUUAGGGGCGAAAGACCAAUCUAGCCCGGUGAUAGCUAGUUCCCUCCGAAGUGGGUCGCAGCCCAGCCCCGAGUGAGGCAGCCGACAGGGUAGAGCACUGAUUAGGAAGUGAGGAGCCGAAAGGUUCCGCUUCGUUUUCAAACUCCGAAUCUAUCGGCACUGCAGACCUCGGGAGACGGGUUAUGGUGGGGUAAGCCCCCAUGCCGAAAGGGGAACAACCCAGACUAAGGUUAAGGUCCCUAAGUGCUGGCUAAGUGCUAAACUGAAAGGCGUCAUCAGCCUAAAACAGCGGGGAGGUAGGCUCAGAAGCAGCCAUCCUUUAAAGAAAGCGUAACAGCUCACCCGCCGAGGCUGAUGGCCCUGAAAAUGGACGGGGCUAAGCCAGCUGCCGAUACCUUAGAGCACGGUGAAAGCCGUGAUCUGGUAGGAGGGCGUCCUGGCUGGGUAGAAGCCGGGUUGUGAAAUCCGGUGGACCGGUUCAGGAUUGUGAAUCCCGGUGGUAGUAACAGCAAAGAGGGGUGAGAACCCCCUCCGCCGAAAGGGCAAGGGUUCCCCGGCAACGCGCCGUCAGCCGGGGGUAAGUCGAUCCUAAGGCAGAUCUUAACUGAUUAUGCCGAAAGGGAAGCCGGUUAAAAUUCCUGCACCACGAAGGUACACGCGGUGACGCAAGCUCAACGUCUGACGCUUCGAGGUAGGCUGAGCAAGGUUGUCGCCUUGUUUAACCGUAUAAGUUUGGGGAGUGCCGUAAUGGUGAGAACCAGAUGAAAGCGGGAAUAGCUGCCCGUUUUUAGGGCGGUUCAGCUGAUUUUUGGAGCCCUUGAAAAGGAUGUUGAGAAGGAUCCUUCGUGUCCGUACCCAGAACCAACACAGGUGUCCCUAGGCGAGAAACCUAAGGCGUGUCGGGUGUACACUGAGCGAGGGAAAUCGGCAAAUUAGCCCCGUACCUUUGGUAUAAGGGGUGCCUGUGGUUUUGGCUUCGGCUGGAACCGCAGGUCGCAGUAGCAAGGGGGUUUCGACUGUUUAAUAAAAACAUAGGAAGCCGCAAGCCCGAAAGGGUGUGAAUGGCUUCUGAAUCCUGUCCAGUACAGGUACCUAAAACCUGGGUCCAACCGGGCUAAGGGCCUGCAAACGACGGGAGUAACUCUGACUCUCUUAAGGUAGCCAAAUGCCUUGUCGGGUAAGUUCCGACGCGCAUGAAUGGAUCAACGAGAACCCCGCUGUCCCCGCUUGGUACCCGGUGAACCCACGUAAAGUGGACGAACAGUCCACUGACUCCCAGCGGGAAAAGAAGACCCCGUGGAGUUUUACUGCAGCCUGUCGCUGGGAUUUGGCUGUGUUUGCAGAGCGUAGUCGGGAGCCGCUUGAUCCCAGUUCCUCCGGGGACUGGAGUAGGCGCCAAUGGAACACCGACCUUUUACAACCAUGUCUCUUACCGGCGCGUACGCGUUGGGACAACGGUAGGUGGGCAGUUCGGCUGGGGCGGCACCCCCUCGAAAAAAUAUCAAGGGGGCCCAAAGAUCGGCUCAGGCGGGACAGAAACCCGCUGUAGAGUGCAAAGGCAAAAGCUGGUCUGACUGAAUCCUCCACAGUAAGGGAUUCAGAGGCGAAAGCCGGGCUUAGCGAUCCUCUAUGUCCUCCUUGGUGGGGGCUAGAGGCGACAGAAAAAUUACCCCGGGGGUAACAGGCUUGUCGCGGGCGAGAGUCCCCAUCGACCCCGCGGCUUGGUACCUCGAUGUCGGCUCUUCCUAUCCUGGCCCUGCAUAAGGGGCCAAGGGUGAGGCUGCUC